GGGUCAGUAGGUUGGUCGUGCCACCGGUACGUACUGGUCUCACUGAUUCCUCCUUCCUGAAGAACCGUAAUGCCAUUAAUUUGGUGUUGCGGGGAAACAGGACUGUUACUUUGAAAAAAUUAGAGUGUUUAAAGCAAGCUGACGCUUGAAUACAUUAGCAUGGAAUAAUGAAAUAGGACGAUCGAUCCUAUUUUGUUGGUUUCUAGGAUUGACGUA
This 216-nucleotide ribosomal RNA is filed under the name Glomeromycotina sp. Its description in RNAcentral is "partial small subunit ribosomal RNA". The stretch from base 40 to 216 matches the Rfam family "Eukaryotic small subunit ribosomal RNA", at positions 686 to 864 of the family's 1831-position model. Lineage: Eukaryota; Fungi; Glomeromycota. The record is from RNAcentral.